This 367-nucleotide ribosomal RNA is filed under the name uncultured Anaerolineaceae bacterium. Its description in RNAcentral is "bacterial SSU rRNA". It matches the Rfam family "Bacterial small subunit ribosomal RNA", at positions 1002 to 1382 of the family's 1533-position model. Lineage: Bacteria; Bacillati; Chloroflexota; Anaerolineae; Anaerolineales; Anaerolineaceae. The record is from RNAcentral.
GGAAACUGAAAGGACGACCUUCGGGAGCUUGCACAGGUGCUGCAUGGCUGUCGUCAGCUCGUGUCGUGAGAUGUUCGGUUAAGUCCGCUAACGAGCGCAACCCUUCACUGUGUGUUAUAUGUGUCACACGGGACUGCCGGUUUUAAGCCGGAGGAAGGUGGGAUGACGUCAAGUCAGCAUGGCCUUUAUAUCCUGGGCUACACACACGCUACAAUGGUCGGUACAAUAGGUUGCCAAGCCGCGAGGCGGAGCCAAUCCAAAAAAGCCGGCCUCAGUUCAGAUUGUAGGCUGCAACUCGCCUGCAUGAAGAUGGAGUUGCUAGUAACCGCAGGUCAGCAAUACUGCGGUGAAUACGUUCCCGGGCCUU